Molecule: ribosomal RNA, 441 nt
Filed under: uncultured bacterium
Lineage: Bacteria
Description: partial 16S ribosomal RNA
Rfam family: Bacterial small subunit ribosomal RNA
Source: RNAcentral
CCUACGGUGGGCUGCAGUGGGGAAUAUUGCACAAUGGGGGAAACCCUGAUGCAGCAACGCCGCGUGAUUGAGGAAGAAUUUCGGUAUGUAAGGCUCUAUCAGCAGGGAAGAAGCAAGCCGUUACCUGACUAAAAACCCCCGGCUAACUACGUGCCAGCAGCCGCGGUAUUCCGUCGGGGGCAAGCGUUAUCCGAAUUUACUGGGCGUAAAGCGCUCGUAGGCGGUAUGUCAAGUAAAGGGUGAAAUCCCCGCGCUCAACGUGGGAACUGCCUUUGAAACUGGCAAACUGGAGUGUGUGAGAGGAUAGUGGAAUUCCAGGUGUAGGAGUGAAAUCCGUAGAUAUCUGGAGGAACAUCAGUGGCGAAGGCGACUAUCUGGCACAUAACUGACGCUGAGGAGCGAAAGCGUGGGUAGCAAACAGGAUUAGAUACCCGAGUAGUC